RNAcentral lists this ribosomal RNA (66 nucleotides) under uncultured archaeon. RNAcentral's name for it is "partial 16S ribosomal RNA". The record is from RNAcentral.
AAAAGCCACCCUCUUCGGGUGGCACUCGGAGUGGCCCUCGUCACGCUUUCGCGCAUAGCGGAGGUU